RNAcentral lists this ribosomal RNA (253 nucleotides) under Dorea formicigenerans. RNAcentral's name for it is "partial 16S ribosomal RNA". It matches the Rfam family "Bacterial small subunit ribosomal RNA", at positions 524 to 776 of the family's 1533-position model. The record is from RNAcentral. Lineage: Bacteria; Bacillati; Bacillota; Clostridia; Lachnospirales; Lachnospiraceae.
UACGUAGGGGGCAAGCGUUAUCCGGAUUUACUGGGUGUAAAGGGAGCGUAGACGGCUGUGCAAGUCUGAAGUGAAAGGCAUGGGCUCAACCUAUGGACUGCUUUGGAAACUGUGCAGCUAGAGUGUCGGAGAGGUAAGUGGAAUUCCUAGUGUAGCGGUGAAAUGCGUAGAUAUUAGGAGGAACACCAGUGGCGAAGGCGGCUUACUGGACGAUGACUGACGUUGAGGCUCGAAAGCGUGGGGAGCAAACAGG